This 1306-nucleotide ribosomal RNA is filed under the name Nocardia cyriacigeorgica. RNAcentral's name for it is "bacterial SSU rRNA". It matches the Rfam family "Bacterial small subunit ribosomal RNA", at positions 100 to 1419 of the family's 1533-position model. The record is from RNAcentral. Lineage: Bacteria; Bacillati; Actinomycetota; Actinomycetes; Mycobacteriales; Nocardiaceae.
GAACGGGUGAGUAACACGUGGGUGAUCUGCCUCGCACUCUGGGAUAAGCCUGGGAAACUGGGUCUAAUACCGGAUAUGACCUUACAUCGCAUGGUGUUUGGUGGAAAGAUUUAUUGGUGCGAGAUGGGCCCGCGGCCUAUCAGCUUGUUGGUGGGGUAAUGGCCUACCAAGGCGACGACGGGUAGCCGGCCUGAGAGGGCGACCGGCCACACUGGGACUGAGACACGGCCCAGACUCCUACGGGAGGCAGCAGUGGGGAAUAUUGCACAAUGGGCGAAAGCCUGAUGCAGCGACGCCGCGUGAGGGAUGACGGCCUUCGGGUUGUAAACCUCUUUCGACAGGGACGAAGCGUAAGUGACGGUACCUGUAGAAGAAGCACCGGCCAACUACGUGCCAGCAGCCGCGGUAAUACGUAGGGUGCGAGCGUUGUCCGGAAUUACUGGGCGUAAAGAGCUUGUAGGCGGCUUGUCGCGUCGAUCGUGAAAACUUGGGGCUCAACCCCAAGCUUGCGGUCGAUACGGGCAGGCUUGAGUACUUCAGGGGAGACUGGAAUUCCUGGUGUAGCGGUGAAAUGCGCAGAUAUCAGGAGGAACACCGGUGGCGAAGGCGGGUCUCUGGGAAGUAACUGACGCUGAGAAGCGAAAGCGUGGGUAGCGAACAGGAUUAGAUACCCUGGUAGUCCACGCCGUAAACGGUGGGUACUAGGUGUGGGUUUCCUUCCACGGGAUCCGUGCCGUAGCUAACGCAUUAAGUACCCCGCCUGGGGAGUACGGCCGCAAGGCUAAAACUCAAAGGAAUUGACGGGGGCCCGCACAAGCGGCGGAGCAUGUGGAUUAAUUCGAUGCAACGCGAAGAACCUUACCUGGGUUUGACAUACACCGGAAACCUGCAGAGAUGUAGGCCCCCUUGUGGUCGGUGUACAGGUGGUGCAUGGCUGUCGUCAGCUCGUGUCGUGAGAUGUUGGGUUAAGUCCCGCAACGAGCGCAACCCUUAUCUUAUGUUGCCAGCGCGUAAUGGCGGGGACUCGUGAGAGACUGCCGGGGUCAACUCGGAGGAAGGUGGGGACGACGUCAAGUCAUCAUGCCCCUUAUGUCCAGGGCUUCACACAUGCUACAAUGGCCGGUACAGAGGGCUGCGAUACCGCGAGGUGGAGCGAAUCCCUUAAAGCCGGUCUCAGUUCGGAUCGGGGUCUGCAACUCGACCCCGUGAAGUUGGAGUCGCUAGUAAUCGCAGAUCAGCAACGCUGCGGUGAAUACGUUCCCGGGCCUUGUACACACCGCCCGUCACGUCAUGAAAGUCGGUAACA